GACGUUUUUUCAUGCCUAUCACAGAAGGCUAGUUCUUUCCUCAAGGGUGGGGGUCUGUGUGCUUCUUCACAGUUCCUAGCAGAGUGCCCUGAGCAGAGAAGACACGCCGUACACACCUAUGGGAUGGAAAGUGUCUCUUCUCUGUGACCCCCUUGUUGGCGUGCCCCCUUUCCUCCACUUCCUCUGUGAUGUGUGAGCAUUCAGCCGAGGCUCUGCCUUGUUCUGUGCUCAUUCUUUCGGUGUCAGCUACGGUGCCCUUGAGGAGAGAUCAUUUUUCCUCCAGUAUCGCUAGUGCACAGCACAGAGGCGGAUGCACAGCGGGCACUUACAUGAAAACCUCUUUAUGUAUCUUUUUUUGUUUGUUUUUUUGCAGUGGUGCUAUCUUGGCUCACUGCAACCUCUGCCUCCCGGGUUCAAGCGAUUCUCAUGCCCCAGCCUCCCAAAUAGCUGGGAUUAUAGGCGCCUGCCACCGCGCCUGGCUCAUUUUUGUAUUUUUAGUAGAGACGAGGUUUUACCAUGUUGGCCAGGCUGGUCUUGAACUCCCGACCUCAGGUGAUCCACCCAUUCAGCCUCCCAAAGUGCUGGGAUUACAGGCGUGAGCCACCGCGCCCGGCCUAUGUGUCCUUUUUGAGACACAAGGUAGAUAAUCAUCCCCAUUUUAGAUGAGGGAAACCGAACCGUUGAGAGUUGAAGAGCAUGUCACGUAACUAAUUAGUGACUGAAUGAAGACUGGAGGGAAGGCUAGCAACCAGGCCUUGUAGCUCCUGGUUCACUCAUCUUUUUAAGGGACCAGGGGCUUACUCUGUAGCUGGAGGGCAAGAGGUUAGUUUCGAAGAACUGUUUGGAAUGAGAUACUUUCUGAAAGGGCAAAGGGCAGCUCAGAGUUGAUCUGCUGGGUUCUUCCAGUAUUCCACUUCCACCUGGAAUGGGCGUGAACUCAGUCCACCCAAGUCUGACUGUCAGACGGAGGAGGCAGCCUUUUCCCUAACUCAGGCUUUCUCUGUUACAGAACCAGACAGGCCCAGCACAGCAGAACAGAGUGAAAGAAAACAUCGCUCACCACCCCAGGGCUUAGCAUACCGGCCACUUGGCAGCCUGCUCGGCUGAGUUUAAAGCUACACUCACUCAGACCAGGGAGUGCCCUGUAAGUAUCCAGACUGCCAGCUACCCCUACUAGCACAGAGAUUGCUGAACCUUGUACCCUUUGCUGAGCCCCAGUUGGCCUGUUCAUUUGGCACAAGGAAGAUGUUUCUUCAUCCACAGCUAAAGCCGCUAUAGAGCCAGAACCUUUCCGGUUCUGGAGAGCUUCUUCCCCUCUCCCUGCAUGACAAAAAAUCACCUACUUUUAGGCCAAGACAAAUUUGGGACAAAAACAAAGCCCCA
RNAcentral lists this long non-coding RNA (1383 nucleotides) under Homo sapiens (human). Its description in RNAcentral is "HSALNT0020489". The record is from RNAcentral. Lineage: Eukaryota; Metazoa; Chordata; Mammalia; Primates; Hominidae.